GUAGGUAGGCAGGCAAACAGAUUGAUAGUACCUGUUGUGUGCCAGGUGAACUACUGGGUCUGGGAAUAUAAUAGUAUAUCUGGAUUUGAACACAGAUUUCAGUUGAAAUGGUAGCUUGACAAGUCAGUUGAAUUCAACUUUUAAGUUCCUCAUUGGAAAUAAGACAACUGAUCCAACUAAAUACACUGUGUUGGAGAGUAAAUGUAAAACAUUCUUGCCAUGGAGUUCUUGUUCCCGUGCUGGUCCUUCCUGUGGCUGGAAGUCUGACCUUCAUAAGGUUGACCAGUUGCUUAGUCCAGUUGAGAUCAACCUUUUCACUAGUUGGGGCAUCUCAAGUGAGGCAAGAUUAGCAAGAGCCUUGUAAACUAAAAGGGGCCAGUUUCAUCUGCAGGUUGAUGAAAAAAGGGCAGUGUCCUGGGACAUUUGGAAUGGAAUCUCUAGUCCUUUCUUCUGGGCACAUUUCCUGAGUAAUGAAAAAGGUGAUGUUUGAGACAUUGUCUUCAG
RNAcentral lists this long non-coding RNA (504 nucleotides) under Bos taurus (domestic cattle). Its description in RNAcentral is "long non-coding RNA NONBTAT024926". The record is from RNAcentral. Lineage: Eukaryota; Metazoa; Chordata; Mammalia; Artiodactyla; Bovidae.